GUGUCAGCAGCCGCGGUAAUACGUAGGUGGCAAGCGUUGUCCGGAGUUACUGGGUGUAAAGGGCGUGUAGGCGGGAAAAUAAGUCAGAUGUGAAAUUCCAUGGCUCAACUGUGGCGCUGCAUCUGAAACUAUUUUUCUUGAGUGAUGGAGAGGAAAGCGGAAUUCCUAGUGUAGCGGUGAAAUGCGUAGAUAUUAGGAGGAACACCAGUGGCGAAGGCGGCUUUCUGGACAUUAACUGACGCUGAGGCGCAAAAGCGUGGGGAGCAAACAGGAUUAGAAACCCUGGUAGUCC
RNAcentral lists this ribosomal RNA (292 nucleotides) under uncultured bacterium. RNAcentral's name for it is "partial 16S ribosomal RNA". It matches the Rfam family "Bacterial small subunit ribosomal RNA", at positions 505 to 796 of the family's 1533-position model. The record is from RNAcentral.